UACGGAGGGUGCGAGCGUUACCCGGAUUUACUGGGUGUAAAGGGCGUGUAGGCGGCCUCUCAAGUCCGAUGCUAAAGACUGGGGCUCAACCCCAGGAGUGCGUUGGAUACUGUCAGGCUAGACGGUCGGAGAGGGUAGCGGAAUUUCCGGAGUAGCGGUGAAAUGCGCAGAUACCGGAAGGAACGCCAAUAGCGAAAGCAGCUACCUGGACGAUUUGUGACGCUGAGGCGCGAAAGCGUGGGGAGCAAACCGG
RNAcentral lists this ribosomal RNA (253 nucleotides) under uncultured Deinococcota bacterium. RNAcentral describes it as "uncultured Thermus/Deinococcus group bacterium partial 16S ribosomal RNA". It matches the Rfam family "Bacterial small subunit ribosomal RNA", at positions 524 to 776 of the family's 1533-position model. Lineage: Bacteria; Thermotogati; Deinococcota. The record is from RNAcentral.